Molecule: ribosomal RNA, 411 nt
Filed under: Quasipaa spinosa (Chinese spiny frog)
Lineage: Eukaryota; Metazoa; Chordata; Amphibia; Anura; Dicroglossidae
Description: partial 12S ribosomal RNA
Source: RNAcentral
GAAAGGUUUGGUCCUAGCCUUAUUAUCAGUUUUUUCUUGAAUUACACAUGCAAGUCUCAGCAUACCCGUGAGGACACCCUUAAACCCUCAACCAGACUAAGGAGCCGGCAUCAGGCGCAAUAUCUGCCCACAACGCCUAGUCCCACCACGCCCCCAAGGGCAUUCAGCAGUGAUAGAUAUUGCUAAUAAGCGACAGCUUGACCCAGUUAAAGAAGAUAGAGCCGGCCAACUCGGUGCCAGCCGCCGCGGCUAAACCGCACGGGCUCAAACUGAUAGUUACCGGCGUUAAGCGUGAUUAAAGUCCCCCCACAAUUAGAGUAGAACCUAUACUUAGCUGUGAAAAGCUUGAACCAGGGAAGAACCAUAAACGAAAGUUACUCUAAUAAAUCACUUGAAUACACGACAGCUAGA